RNAcentral lists this long non-coding RNA (1051 nucleotides) under Capra hircus (goat). Its description in RNAcentral is "lncRNA (ENSCHIG00000007870.1)". Lineage: Eukaryota; Metazoa; Chordata; Mammalia; Artiodactyla; Bovidae. The record is from RNAcentral.
GUGAAAAGGAUGGCUGUAUUUUUCUUUUCAAGUCCUGAGAGACCCUGCAUACGUUCUCCAGCAUCCUCAGGAGGAAAAAAAAAAGUUCCUAUCAAGGACAUCUUGCUACAGAGGACAUUAAACAUCUGUCCUUUACUCUUAAUGGAAAUAAAACCAAAAAUAAACAAAUGGGACCUAAUUAAACUUAAAAGCUUUUGCACAACGAAGGAAACUAUAAGCAAAGUGAAAAGACUGCCUUUGGAAUGGAAGAAAAUAAUAGCAAAUGAAGCAACUGGCAAAGAAUUAUACAAGCAACUCCUGCAGCUCAAUUACAGAAAAAUAAGUGACCCAAUCAAAAUAUGGGUCAAAGAACUAAACAGACAUUUCUCCAAAGAAGACAUACAGAUGGCUAACAAACACAUGAAAAAAUGAUUAACAUCUCUCAUUAUCAGAGAAAUGCAAAUCAAAACCACAAUGAGGUACCAUUUCAUGCUGGUCAGAAUGGCUGCUGUCAAAAAAGUCUACAAACAAUACUGGCGAGGGUGCAGAGAAAAAGGAAACUUCUUAUACUGUUGGUGGGAAUGCAAACUAGUACAGCCACUAUGGGGAACAGUGUGGAGAUUCCUUAAAAAACUGGAAAUAGAACUCCCAUAUGCCCCAGCAAUCCCACUGCUGGGUACACACUGAGGAAACCAGAAUUGAAAGAGACACGUGUACCCCAAUGUUCAUUGCAGCACUGUUUACAAUAGCCAGGACAUGGAAGCAACCUAAAUGUCCAUCGGCAGAUGAAUGGAUAAGAAAGCUGUGGUACAUAUACGCAAUGGAAUAUUACGUAGCUAUUAAAAAGAAUGCACUUGAAUCAGUUCUAAUGAGGUGGAUGAAACUGGAGCCUAUUAUACAGAGUGAAGUAAGUCAGAAAGAAAACACCAAUACAGUAUAUUAACAUAUAUAUAUGGAAUUUAGAAAGAUGGUAACAAUGACCCUAUAUGCAAGACAGCGAAAGAGACACAGAUGUAAAGAAUAGACUUUUGGACUCUGUGGGAGAAGGGUGGGAUGAUUAGAGAGAAUAGCG